GAAAUGCGAUAAGUAAUGUGAAUUGCAGAAUCCAGUGAAUCAUCGAAUCUUUGAACACACAUUGCGCCCGCCAGCAUUCUGGCGGGCAUGCCUGUUCGAGCGUCAUUUCAACCCUCGACCUCCCCUUGGGGAGGUCGGCGUUGGGGACCGGCAGCACACCGCCGGCCCUGAAAUGGAGUGGCGGCCCGUCCGCGGCGACCUCUGCGUAGUAAUACAGCUCGCACCGGAACCCCGACGCGGCCACGCCGUAAAACACCCAACUUCUGAACGUUGACCUCGAAUCAGGUAGGACUACCCGCUGAACUUAAGC
RNAcentral lists this unclassified non-coding RNA (310 nucleotides) under plant metagenome. Its description in RNAcentral is "partial contains 5.8S ribosomal RNA, internal transcribed spacer 2, and large subunit ribosomal RNA". The stretch from base 1 to 105 matches the Rfam family "5.8S ribosomal RNA", at positions 50 to 154 of the family's 154-position model. The record is from RNAcentral.